Molecule: ribosomal RNA, 391 nt
Filed under: uncultured Methanosaeta sp.
Lineage: Archaea; Methanobacteriati; Methanobacteriota; Methanomicrobia; Methanotrichales; Methanotrichaceae
Description: bacterial SSU rRNA
Rfam family: Archaeal small subunit ribosomal RNA
Source: RNAcentral
UGAAGGCCAGGCUGAAGACUUUGCCGGAUUAGCUGAGAGGUGGUGCAUGGCCGUCGUCAGUUCGUACUGUGAAGCAUCCUGUUAAGUCAGGCAACGAGCGAGACCCACGCCCACAGUUGCCAGCGUACUCUCUGGAGUGACGGGUACACUGUGGGGACCGCCGCUGCUAAAGCGGAGGAAGGAAUGGGCAACGGUAGGUCAGUAUGCCCCGAAUAUCCCGGGCUACACGCGAGCUACAAUGGUUGGUACAAUGGGUAUCUACCCCGAAAGGGGACGGGAAUCUCCUAAAACCAAUCUUAGUUCGGAUUGAGGGCUGCAACUCGCCCUCAUGAAGCUGGAAUCCGUAGUAAUCGCGUUUCAACAGAACGCGGUGAAUACGUCCCUGCUCCUU